UGGUUGUGAACGCGUGGCUACAAAGGAAAUGCCAUGUAGAAGGUACUCACUGGAAAGUCAAUUCUCGUCGAAGCUACUGGAACGGUUCACAAAUAGAGAUUUAUGAAGGACAAAAGAAUGACGUACGCCUGUACGGAGUGUCCUAUAAAAGCCAGGCAGUUCCUAUAGUCUACACACAUCUGAAAUAUCCUACCUAUACAGGAAAGUUUCAACGAUCUCUUCGUGGACACAAUGACGCCUCUACGUUUCGCUGUUGUCUUCGUCCUCCUCUUUGGUGGAUUUGUCGCCAUUGAAGCUGCACCUGAAGGACACGAGCUUGAACGUCGUGACGUUGUCAUUCAGCUCUGCGCUUGUCUUCCGGGUGUUACCGAUUGCCCUAGCCAAAGUUGCACAGAGGCGAGCGAGUGUUUGGAAUGCGCCGAUCUCGCGGUAUGCCUUUGUAUUGGGGAUACCGUUUGCGAUGGAAACAGUUGCACAUCGGCAAGCGACUGUAACGAUUGCUCCGAUAUCAUUGAAUGAACAACAUGGCUGACUGGCAUCCCUCAACUACGAAAUGAUCAAUUGCACGUAUAUGAAAUAAGAGACCCUGGUAUUCUCUUUUACCAAUAUGUUCAUGGGUGGCGGGAACUUUUGAGGGCAAUAAAUUGUACCAAGCAGCAGA
Long non-coding RNA from Ornithodoros turicata, 661 nucleotides. RefSeq lists it as uncharacterized. NCBI's taxonomy places the organism in Eukaryota, Metazoa, Arthropoda, Arachnida, Ixodida, Argasidae. The transcript has 4 exons. The record is from RefSeq and is a predicted model, not a curated record.